This 949-nucleotide ribosomal RNA is filed under the name Acanthocyclops sp. N409DZMB. Its description in RNAcentral is "SSU rRNA". It matches the Rfam family "Eukaryotic small subunit ribosomal RNA", at positions 193 to 1135 of the family's 1831-position model. Lineage: Eukaryota; Metazoa; Arthropoda; Copepoda; Cyclopoida; Cyclopidae. The record is from RNAcentral.
ACGGAGGGGCGCUUUUAUUAGACUAAAACCAAACGGCUCGGCCGUUCCACUGGUGAAUCUGAAUAACUUUGAGCGGAUCGCACGGCCUCGUGCCGGCGACGUGUCCUUCCAAGGUGUGCCCUAUCAACUGUCGACUGUGGCAUAGACGCCCACAGUGGUUUUGACGGGUAACGGGGAAUUAGGGUUCGAUUCCGGAGAGGGAGCCUGAGAAACGGCUACCACUUCUAAGGAAGGCAGCAGGCACGCAAAUUACCCACUGGCCGAAGGCCGAGGUAGUGACGAAAAAUAACGAUACCAGACUCAUCCGAGGCCUGGUAAUCGGAAUGAGCACACUUUAAAUCCUUUAGCGAGGAACCAUUGGAGGGCAAGUCUGGUGCCAGCAGCCGCGGUAAUUCCAGCUCCAAUAGCGUAUAUAAAAGUUGUUGCGGUUAAAAAGCUCGUAGUUGGAUCUCGGCUUGCAGGGGGCGGUCCGUUAUUUGACGCGACUGCCCCAUUUGCGAGUGUUUCUUCGGCGGAACUCCCGGGGUGCUCUUCGCCGAGUGUCCCGUUGGGGGCCGCCAGGUUUACUUUGAAAAAAUUAGAGUGCUCCAAGCAGGCUCGACACGCCUGAAUAUUCGUGCAUGGAAUAAUGGAAUAGGACGUCGUUCCUGUUUUGUUGGUUUUAGGGAAUCGACGUAAUGAUUUAUAGGGACAGCCGGGGGCAUUAGUAUUCAGACGACAGAGGUGAAAUUCUUGGACCGUCUGGCGACUCACUGCUGCGAAAGCGUUUGCCAAGUAUGUUUUCAUUAAUCAAGAACGAAAGUGAGAGGUUCGAAGGCGAUCAGAUACCGCCCUAGUUCUAACCAUAAACGAUGCCAGCUAGCGAUCCGCAGACGUUUUAUUUGUAGGCUCUGCGGGAAGCUUCCGGGAAACCAAAGCCUUUGGGUUCCGGGGGAAGUAUGGUUGCAAA